Molecule: long non-coding RNA, 131 nt
Organism: Corvus hawaiiensis (hawaiian crow)
Lineage: Eukaryota; Metazoa; Chordata; Aves; Passeriformes; Corvidae
Exons: 3
Source: RefSeq, a predicted model, not a curated record
CCUUUCACUAGACCAGGUUGCUCAGGGCAUCAUCCAGUCUGGCCUUGAGCACUCUCCGGGAUGGGCCAUCCACAGCUUAUCUGGGCAACCUGUGCCAGUGCCUCACCACCCUCACAGUGCUGAAUAUUUUU